UUUCCGUAGGUGAACCUGCGGAAGGAUCAUUAUUGUAUAACCGAGGUGCGAGGGCUGUCGCUGACCCGAAAGGUCGUGCACGCCCAAGUGGCCUUACACACAUCCAUCUCACCCCUAUGUGCACCUCCGCGUGGGUCCCCCUUUGGCUUGUUCGGAGGGGGGCGUACGUUUUCACACAAACUUUGUAUGCAGUGUAGAAUGUAUUUUUUGUUUUUGCGAUCACGCAAUCAAUACAACUUUCAACAACGGAUCUCUUGGCUCUC
Molecule: unclassified non-coding RNA, 263 nt
Filed under: plant metagenome
Description: partial contains small subunit ribosomal RNA, internal transcribed spacer 1, and 5.8S ribosomal RNA
Source: RNAcentral